CGGUAGAGUAUGGGGCCAGCGUUGUUCGGAAUUACUGGGUGUAAAGGGUUCGUAGGCGGUGCGGCAAGUUGGGAGUGAAAUCUCUGGGCUUAACCCAGAGGCUGCUUCCAAAACUGCUGUGCUYGAGUGUGRGAGAGGCGCGUGGAAUUGCAGGUGUAGCGGUGAAAUGCGUAGAUAUCUGCAGGAACACCCGUGGCGAAAGCGGCGCGCUGGAYCACWACUGACGCUGAGGAACGAAAGCUAGGGGAGCAAACAGGAUUAGAURCCCUGGUAGUCCUAGCCCUAAACGAUCAGGACUUGGGGUGSCRYCCGUUCGGGYGUCGUCCCGGAGCUAACGCGUUAAGUCCUGCACCUGGGGAGUACGGUCGCAAGACUGAAACUCAAAGGAAUUGACGGGGGCCCGCACAAG
This 409-nucleotide ribosomal RNA is filed under the name uncultured bacterium. RNAcentral describes it as "partial 16S ribosomal RNA". It matches the Rfam family "Bacterial small subunit ribosomal RNA", at positions 518 to 929 of the family's 1533-position model. The record is from RNAcentral.